UAUAUUUUAGUGUAUGAAGCACAUUAAUUUUUGAUAUUAUUAGGUAUAGUUUAAUUCUAUAAAAUAUAA
RNAcentral lists this transfer RNA (69 nucleotides) under Pedesta hyrie. RNAcentral describes it as "tRNA-Gln". Lineage: Eukaryota; Metazoa; Arthropoda; Insecta; Lepidoptera; Hesperiidae. The record is from RNAcentral.